This is a long non-coding RNA of Lemur catta (Ring-tailed lemur), 402 nucleotides long. RefSeq lists it as uncharacterized. Lineage: Eukaryota; Metazoa; Chordata; Mammalia; Primates; Lemuridae. The record is from RefSeq and is a predicted model, not a curated record. The transcript is spliced from 3 exons.
GGAAGACCUGGGAAAUGAGAAGCAACUGAGGAGCCCAGGAAUUUUGGCUGGGCCCAUGGCUGCCCAAGAGUCGUCUACAUUUCUCAGCCUCCCUUGCAGCUUGCUGUGGCCGUGUCACCGAAUUCUGACCAAUUAGAUGUGAGUAGGAAUGACGUCUGCAAUUUCGGAGUUCCAUCCUUAAGGAAGCUGCUCGUCCUCUGUGUCCUCUUUUCCUUGUCCCUGCACUGGGACAGGGAUCGCAGAGCGGUGAGCCAGCUCUGACCAUGAGAGUGAGGACAACCACCUGGGGAAGAGAGAGCGACACAGAAGGAAAUUCACCUUCACUCACCACUCCCCCGGACGCCCAGAGCGACUUCCAGUCCUGCAAGCUCCACUCAUGGGGUCUUCUACCUCAUGGUUGAA